GAUCCUGGCUCGAGGAUGAACGCUAGCGGCAGGCCUAAUACAUGCAAGUCGAACGCUCAGUAGCAAUACUGGGAGUGGCGCGACGGGUGCGUAACGCGUACACAAUCUACCUCUAAGGCGGGGACACCUCCUAGGAAACGGGGAUUAAUACCGCAUAAUAUGCCGAGGUCGCAUGACUUUGGUAUUAAAGCAGCAAUGCACUUAGAGAUGAGUGUGCGUCCCAUUAGGUAGUUGGUGAGGUGACGGCUCACCAAGCCUAUGAUGGGUAGCCGGUCUGAGAGGAUGGUCGGCCACACGGGCACUGAGACACGGGCCCGACUCCUACGGGAGGCAGCAGUAAGGAAUAUUGGUCAAUGGUGGAAACACUGAACCAGCCAUGCCGCGUGGAGGAAUAAGGUACUACGGAUUGUAAACUCCUUUUGACGAGGAAGAAAGUGUUAGAUUUAUCUAAUUUUGACGGUACUCGUAGAAUAAGCACCGGCUAACUCCGUG
This 492-nucleotide ribosomal RNA is filed under the name uncultured bacterium. Its description in RNAcentral is "bacterial SSU rRNA". It matches the Rfam family "Bacterial small subunit ribosomal RNA", at positions 15 to 507 of the family's 1533-position model. The record is from RNAcentral.